Molecule: ribosomal RNA, 250 nt
Filed under: uncultured bacterium
Lineage: Bacteria
Description: partial 16S ribosomal RNA
Rfam family: Bacterial small subunit ribosomal RNA
Source: RNAcentral
UACGGAGGGUGCGAGCGUUGUCCGGAAUCAUUGGGCGUAAAGGGCGCGUAGGUGGCGGCUUAAGCGUGCGGUGAAAGCUCGGGGCUCAACCCCGAGUCGGCCGUGCGAACUGAGUCGCUUGAGCACUGUAGAGGCAGGCGGAAUUCCGGGUGUAGCGGUGGAAUGCGUAGAGAUCCGGAAGAACACCGGUGGCGAAGGCGGCCUGCUGGGCAGUAGCUGACACUGAGGCGCGCACGUGGGGAGCAAACAG